GGUUACUGGCCAAACCAACCUGGCUAUGCCCGAUCUCGUCUGAUCUCGGAAGCUAAGCAGGUUUGGGCCUGGUUAGUACUUGGAUGGGAGACUGCUUGGGAAUACCAGGUGAUGUGAGAU
RNAcentral lists this ribosomal RNA (120 nucleotides) under Carassius auratus (goldfish). The record is from RNAcentral. Lineage: Eukaryota; Metazoa; Chordata; Actinopteri; Cypriniformes; Cyprinidae.